RNAcentral lists this ribosomal RNA (352 nucleotides) under uncultured bacterium. RNAcentral describes it as "bacterial SSU rRNA". It matches the Rfam family "Bacterial small subunit ribosomal RNA", at positions 1037 to 1390 of the family's 1533-position model. The record is from RNAcentral.
GGUGGUGCAUGGUUGUCGUCAGCUCGUGUCGUGAGAUGUUGGGUUAAGUCCCGCAACGAGCGCAACCCUUAAGCUUAGUUGCCAGCAUUCAGUUGGGCACUCUAAGGUGACUGCCGGUGACAAACCGGAGGAAGGUGGGGAUGACGUCAAAUCAUCAUGCCCCUUAUGACCUGGGCUACACACGUGCUACAAUGGACGGUACAAACGGUUGCCAACCCGCGAGGGGGAGCUAAUCCGAUAAAACCGUUCUCAGUUCGGAUUGUAGGCUGCAACUCGCCUACAUGAAGCCGGAAUCGCUAGUAAUCGUGGAUCAUCAUGCCACGGUGAAUACGUUCCCGGGUCUUGUACACAC